CACUGUCUCGUCAGUGCAAAUCAAAGUAAUGGACGAAACAAGACCCUGGUAUGCCCAGAGGCUGAUGGAUUAGUACCACGAAAGCUUUCUUUGAUUGCUACUUACGUAGCGAUACACUUAUAUAUACAUAUACCUGCAUGGCACAUAUAUAUAAUGUGUGUAUAUAUAUAUAUAUAUAUGUAUAUAUGUAUGUAUAUAUAAAAGUCAACUUCAGUCCGACGAGAAUCAUCAUACGAUAACAACGCAUUUCCUUCGAGUCUCUCGAGAAUCCUCAUCAACCCCUGAGGAAUUCCGUAACUGGAAGAGAAACGAAAGAUCCGAUCUCUUUAUUAAGAGAGUAUCUACCAAAUGAAGUUCGAAAAUCGUUAAUUCCUAUCAAGGGGAUCUCCUUAGACGGGACGAAUCCCUGGCUACGGGUUCGAACUCAAAAAUGCUCGAGACGGGAGAAAGCCCAACUCGAUAUACGGGCAAUUUUCCUUGUUAGGAUGAAGGAUGAACAGGGGAGAGGGGAGUGAAGAGAAGGGUGAGUAAGAGAGAGAGAGAGAGAGAGAGAGAGAGAGAGAGAGAAGGAGGAUGACGAUGUAUGCCUCCGUUUGCAGCGAACGAACGAAGAGACUUUUUUAGCCUACCAAACUUAGAAUGUUUCUCCAUAACGUGCGUGCACCUGGUGUUACUUAGAGACUUCUGGUUUUGGGAUAACAACACCAACGACCAUACUUCCAUCUUGCUAUGCCUAUCUCGGGACACUGAUGCGUGGUGUCUUCCAUGUCCUUUGAUCAUCAUAAAUGACCGACUACGAAGAAAAUCGAACGAAAGUCCGAAAAGAAUUUUCUUAGAAAUGUUUCAAAACUUUUGAGACAAAAGAAAGGAAGAGAGAAAGAGAGAAAGACAGAGAGAGAGAGAGAGAGAGAGAAAGAGAGAGAAAAAGAGAGAGAGAUAGAGAGAGAAGGCGCGCGUGUCGCGCGUACGACAAGGCCCAGAAGGGAACAUGAAUGAAGCUCCCAUUCAUGCCCUCAGAGCCCUACCUACUUGUAUCUACUGCAGCCCUUGUUUGUACCGUCUAUGGGAGCUUGCUUGAAACGGCAGAACGACGUCGUCGUCGUCGUCGUCGUCGUCGUCGUCGUCUUCGUCGUCGUCGUCGUUGGCGCCGUUGCUGCUUAUGCGCUCGCGCUCACGUUUAUUCGCCAAGAGGAAAGAAAGAAAGAAAGAAAGAAAGAAAUAAAUACGUAAGUAAGUAAGUAAGUAAGUAAGUAAGUAAGUGAGUAUAUACGUACGUAGAAAGAGGCACGCACGCAUGCACUCACGCACGCAUUGGUGCUUUUACGUCAGCCGGUCAUGUCGCGACAUAACAUGUAUAUAUACAUACUUACGUGUGUGUGUACGUGUAUGUGUGUGUGUGUGUGUAUGUGUAUGUGUAUGCGUGUAUGUGUUUGUAUAUCUGUGUUUCACGAAGCGCCGGUGUACACGUGAUCGCCAUUGUUGAUCGCUUCGCAGCGCCAGGUUGGCGCGUUAUUCCGACUUUUUGCGAGCGGAGCUACCGUAUACUCGUUUCCUUCGGCUCGUGUGCCGCGGAGAGAUAUCCGCGAAUAGGAAGAAGAUGAAGGAGGAGAAGAAGAAGGAAGGGAAGGAAAAGAAGGUGGAGAAGAAGAAGAAGAAGUUGCUUCUCUCCAUUCAUCGAUGUACUCGCAAGAUUCUGUUAUCUUUGCAAAGAUCAUCCGAUCGGAGACCGAGAUCGAGACCGAGAUCGAGAUCGAGAUCGAGAUCUAGACCAAGAUCGAGACUGGGAUGGCAAGAUGAAAUGAAAGGAAUAAGAAACAUAUUAAAAAAAAAAAGAAAAAAAAAGAAAAAAAAACGACCCAAUGAUAUGAAAUUUGAUUGCUACAAGCAUAUAAAGGACUCAGAUAAAGUCCGCAAGAAACGUUGAUUUUGUUCCGUAAAUCUUGUCGGUUCGAUUUUGGUUUCGACUUUGCUCGAUAACGUAGCAAUGGAAAUUAAAAUGGCAGCUGAAACGAUUUAUCGUUAUGUUAUACGUGUUGUAAGCGAACGACGGAACAUCGAUAAGGUAAAAUUAUGUUUGAAAUUAAAUCGGAAAGAAAAAGAAAAAGAAAAAGAAAAAGAAAAAGAAAAAGAUGUAGCACAAGAAGGACAAGAAGAAAAAUAAAAAGGAGGAACUUUCCGUUUCUCUUCCUGAAAAAAAUGACUUCAUCCACAGACGAUUCCAAGGAGCUCGUUGGAGGACAAAUAGACAUUCGUAAUCGCGAAUGCAUGAAGAAGCUUCGAAAUAACAGCUGUUCUUAUCUCGCUUGUAUCGAUCAAGAUUAGCUUCGAGCGGAUGGAUACGUACCAGUUACUAGAGACAUAGACAAAAAAAAUUGUGAACCUGCGUCGAAGCGUACAGCCAUUCACGAGAUUAGCUUAGUUGCGUGACUGUUCGAGCGUGAUAUUCGAAAGUGCCGGACGAAGUAAUCGAAUCUUGGAAGUUCAAACGGGAUGUAUUAUACAGGAUGGUCUAACGAUUGUUGUAACAUCCUGUAUAUAUAAAACAAAUAAAAAGUAUACAGAAAAAAAAAAAUCUUUUACCUGCGGAGCUAAAUUUUAUUAAAAAAAAAAAAAAAAAAAGAAUAAGAAGAAGAAAAGAAAAGAAAAAAUAAAUCGAUUGUAUAACAUCCUAAUCGAUGUCACAUAGUUUUUAUUCGAUCAAUUUGAACAUGUAUUUGGAAUCAUCCUGUAUACCGUGUUUAUACGUACCAAUGUUAUUAUUGAUUAUUAAAACGAUUUUUAAAAGGAUAAAUAGUAAAAAUAAUACAUUAAUCCUUGGUUAAUAUUGAACCGAGAGAUAUUUCAAAGAGAUCGAUCAGAAACAGAAUUCGAGAGUCCGAUUACUCAAGAAAGACUCGGAUUAUUACAGGUAUCGACUUCCUGAGAAAUAACCUACUUUCGGUCAAG
Long non-coding RNA from Vespa velutina, 2946 nucleotides. RefSeq lists it as uncharacterized. The transcript has 4 exons. NCBI's taxonomy places the organism in Eukaryota, Metazoa, Arthropoda, Insecta, Hymenoptera, Vespidae. The record is from RefSeq and is a predicted model, not a curated record.